UUGAAUUUAUUUUUAGUACACCACUGACGGACAAUAUUGAUGUUAGCCUGGAGAGUCAUACGGUUUUGAUGUAGUAAUAUAGUUUUAGGUCAUCUACAUAGGCAAGCUUGUCGCAGAUGAUAUGAGGUCAUCUAUGAAUAUAUUGAACAGAACUGGUCUGAUGCACAGCAGAAUUUGGAAUAAAAGCCCUCAAUCUCAACGAACUCAAGUUGCAUCAAAUAGAACCUCAACACUCACAUCGGAGAAACAACAUUUUUGAAACGCUUUUUUAAUCAAUUUUUGUGAAGCCUUUUGGAAAGGACAUUGUUUAAGACACACCUAUGAGGAAAAAUAAUUGAUUGAUUUCAACCAAGUCAUUCUGUUAGGAGGGAAAUUAGAUGUAUGUACGACCAUAAAAGAGACGAAGUUAAGGGUUUCAUAAAGAAACUGCUGUUGAUAGAUACAGGUAUUCCCGUCGCCGACGACGAAGGAACAACGACUGUACGGUAUUCUUUCGGGCAUAUUGUUAUAUUCAA
Long non-coding RNA from Cylas formicarius (sweet potato weevil), 515 nucleotides. RefSeq lists it as uncharacterized. The record is from RefSeq and is a predicted model, not a curated record. NCBI's taxonomy places the organism in Eukaryota, Metazoa, Arthropoda, Insecta, Coleoptera, Brentidae. The transcript has 3 exons.